Molecule: ribosomal RNA, 454 nt
Filed under: uncultured bacterium
Lineage: Bacteria
Description: bacterial SSU rRNA
Rfam family: Bacterial small subunit ribosomal RNA
Source: RNAcentral
UACGGAAGGCAGCAGUGGGGAAUAUUGCACAAUGGGCGCAAGCCUGAUGCAGCCAUGCCGCGUGUAUGAAAAAGGCCUUCGGGUUGUAAAGUACUUUCAGUCGUGAGGAAGGUGUUAAGGUUAAUAACCUUAGCAAUUGACGUUAGCGACAGAAGAAGCACCGGCUAACUCCGUGCCAGCAGCCGCGGUAAUACGGAGGGUGCGAGCGUUAAUCGGAAUUACUGGGCGUAAAGGGCACGCAGGCGGUUAAUAAGUUGGAUGUGAAAUCCCCGGGCUUAACCUGGGAAUGGCAUUCAAGACUGGUUAGCUAGAGUCUUGUAGAGGGGGUAGAAUUCCAUGUGUAGCGGUGAAAUGCGUAGAGAUGUGGAGGAAUACCGGUGGCGAAGGCGGCCCCUGGGACAAAGGACUGACGCUCAUGUGCGAAAGCGUGGGGAGCAAACAGGGAUUAGAUACC